Molecule: long non-coding RNA, 988 nt
Filed under: Parus major (Great Tit)
Lineage: Eukaryota; Metazoa; Chordata; Aves; Passeriformes; Paridae
Description: lncRNA (ENSPMJG00000012744.1)
Source: RNAcentral
CUUCUUUUGAGAUCUUUGCUGUGUUUCAGACCAUUGCUUCCCAGGAUAGAAAGUUUUGAACAGUGCCUCCCCAAGAAGUGUGAUGAGAAAUGGCUUUAGGAAACAAUACCCAGAGAAGUUAUUCCAUCAUCCCCUGCUUCAUCUUUGUUGAGGAACUUCUUAUGAGAUGGGAGGGGAGUUCUGGAAACUCUUGGAGGAACAUUAGGAUGCCAGUGAGGACAGCUACCAUGAGCCCAUGUCUGCUAACAGCAGCCUCUAGUCAACUCUGCCAGCUGCUCCUGAUCCAACAGGGCCCUGAGCUUGCAGAUCUUGAGUCUUGAGCAAGGAGGGUCAAGUGAGACACUGGCACAGCUUGCCGAGAUGCUGCAGCUUCCAAACCCUGAACCUUCAACUACAGCAGGAGAACAAACCCUGAACCUUUAACUGCAGCAGGAGAACACAUGGAGUCUCUGUUUACUAAGGUUGGAAAGUGGAAACUCCACUGAUGAUGAAAGUUAGAAGCUGGUAGCUUCUAGCCCUGGGGGAGCAACCCCUGCUCCACGUGCAGAUCUGCAGCCAUGAGAAGAGGUUCAGUGUCAAGGCAUCUCCCUGGAUGAGAGCUCUGCACAGGGAAAUAAUUGAACCAGCUGGACCUUAACCAUGUGGCAAGAGAAAAUGGUGAGUGGUAGUGUUGAGAUAUUCUCUACCAGUGAAGAGUGAAGUCCACCAUGAGUGCCUUCCUUAAUACUGCUGUUGAGGAGGAGGAGAGUAUGAAGAGGACUGGAUGGAUCUGGUCCACAGUUGAGGUCACAAAUCACAGAAUAGUCUGAGUUAGAAGGGAUCAAGUCCAGCUCUUAAGUGAAUGACCCACACCUGUGUUUGUCCUGCUGAUGUCAGCAGCAGGGUUUGGCUUCUGUGUCCAUGCAACUCUCUUUGAGGAUCUGUACUGCUUAGAAGGCAAUCAUCCUGACCAAGUGGAGCAAAAGCAGCUUUGCCAGCAGCCUGGCUG